This 2899-nucleotide ribosomal RNA is filed under the name Klebsiella pneumoniae. RNAcentral describes it as "bacterial LSU rRNA". It matches the Rfam family "Bacterial large subunit ribosomal RNA". Lineage: Bacteria; Pseudomonadati; Pseudomonadota; Gammaproteobacteria; Enterobacterales; Enterobacteriaceae. The record is from RNAcentral.
UUAAGCGACUAAGCGUACACGGUGGAUGCCCUGGCAGUCAGAGGCGAUGAAGGACGUGCUAAUCUGCGAAAAGCGUCGGUAAGGUGAUAUGAACCGUUAUAACCGGCGAUGUCCGAAUGGGGAAACCCAGUGCAAUUCGUUGCACUAUCGUUAACUGAAUACAUAGGUUAACGAGGCGAACCGGGGGAACUGAAACAUCUAAGUACCCCGAGGAAAAGAAAUCAACCGAGAUUCCCCCAGUAGCGGCGAGCGAACGGGGAGCAGCCCAGAGUCUGAAUCAGCUUGUGUGUUAGUGGAACGGUCUGGAAAGUCCGACGGUACAGGGUGAUAGUCCCGUACACCAAAAUGCACAGGUUGUGAACUCGAAGAGUAGGGCGGGACACGUGGUAUCCUGUCUGAAUAUGGGGGGACCAUCCUCCAAGGCUAAAUACUCCUGACUGACCGAUAGUGAACCAGUACCGUGAGGGAAAGGCGAAAAGAACCCCGGCGAGGGGAGUGAAAAAGAACCUGAAACCGUGUACGUACAAGCAGUGGGAGCACCUUCGGGUGUGACUGCGUACCUUUUGUAUAAUGGGUCAGCGACUUAUAUUCUGUAGCAAGGUUAACCGUAUAGGGGAGCCGCAGGGAAACCGAGUCUUAACUGGGCGUUAAGUUGCAGGGUAUAGACCCGAAACCCGGUGAUCUAGCCAUGGGCAGGUUGAAGGUUGGGUAACACUAACUGGAGGACCGAACCGACUAAUGUUGAAAAAUUAGCGGAUGACUUGUGGCUGGGGGUGAAAGGCCAAUCAAACCGGGAGAUAGCUGGUUCUCCCCGAAAGCUAUUUAGGUAGCGCCUCGUGAAUUCAUCUUCGGGGGUAGAGCACUGUUUCGGCUAGGGGGUCAUCCCGACUUACCAACCCGAUGCAAACUACGAAUACCGAAGAAUGUUAUCACGGGAGACACACGGCGGGUGCUAACGUCCGUCGUGAAGAGGGAAACAACCCAGACCGCCAGCUAAGGUCCCAAAGUCAUGGUUAAGUGGGAAACGAUGUGGGAAGGCACAGACAGCCAGGAUGUUGGCUUAGAAGCAGCCAUCAUUUAAAGAAAGCGUAAUAGCUCACUGGUCGAGUCGGCCUGCGCGGAAGAUGUAACGGGGCUAAACCAUGCACCGAAGCUGCGGCAGCGACACUAUGUGUUGUUGGGUAGGGGAGCGUUCUGUAAGCCUGCGAAGGUGUGCUGUGAGGCAUGCUGGAGGUAUCAGAAGUGCGAAUGCUGACAUAAGUAACGAUAAAGCGGGUGAAAAGCCCGCUCGCCGGAAGACCAAGGGUUCCUGUCCAACGUUAAUCGGGGCAGGGUGAGUCGACCCCUAAGGCGAGGCCGAAAGGCGUAGUCGAUGGGAAACAGGUUAAUAUUCCUGUACUUGGUGUUACUGCGAAGGGGGGACGGAGAAGGCUAUGUUAGCCGGGCGACGGUUGUCCCGGUUUAAGCAUGUAGGCUGGUUGUCCAGGCAAAUCCGGAUAAUCAAGGCUGAGGUGUGAUGACGAGGCACUACGGUGCUGAAGUAACAAAUGCCCUGCUUCCAGGAAAAGCCUCUAAGCAUCAGGUAACAUCAAAUCGUACCCCAAACCGACACAGGUGGUCAGGUAGAGAAUACCAAGGCGCUUGAGAGAACUCGGGUGAAGGAACUAGGCAAAAUGGUGCCGUAACUUCGGGAGAAGGCACGCUGGUGUGUAGGUGAAGCCCCUGCGGGUGGAGCUGAGACCAGUCGAAGAUACCAGCUGGCUGCAACUGUUUAUUAAAAACACAGCACUGUGCAAACACGAAAGUGGACGUAUACGGUGUGACGCCUGCCCGGUGCCGGAAGGUUAAUUGAUGGGGUUAUCCGUAAGGAGAAGCUCUUGAUCGAAGCCCCGGUAAACGGCGGCCGUAACUAUAACGGUCCUAAGGUAGCGAAAUUCCUUGUCGGGUAAGUUCCGACCUGCACGAAUGGCGUAAUGAUGGCCAGGCUGUCUCCACCCGAGACUCAGUGAAAUUGAACUCGCUGUGAAGAUGCAGUGUACCCGCGGCAAGACGGAAAGACCCCGUGAACCUUUACUAUAGCUUGACACUGAACAUUGAGCCUUGAUGUGUAGGAUAGGUGGGAGGCUUUGAAGCGUGGACGCCAGUCUGCGUGGAGCCAACCUUGAAAUACCACCCUUUAAUGUUUGAUGUUCUAACGUUGGCCCCUGACCGGGGUUGCGGACAGUGUCUGGUGGGUAGUUUGACUGGGGCGGUCUCCUCCCAAAGCGUAACGGAGGAGCACGAAGGUUAGCUAAUCCUGGUCGGACAUCAGGAGGUUAGUGCAAUGGCAUAAGCUAGCUUGACUGCGAGCGUGACGGCGCGAGCAGGUGCGAAAGCAGGUCAUAGUGAUCCGGUGGUUCUGAAUGGAAGGGCCAUCGCUCAACGGAUAAAAGGUACUCCGGGGAUAACAGGCUGAUACCGCCCAAGAGUUCAUAUCGACGGCGGUGUUUGGCACCUCGAUGUCGGCUCAUCACAUCCUGGGGCUGAAGUAGGUCCCAAGGGUAUGGCUGUUCGCCAUUUAAAGUGGUACGCGAGCUGGGUUUAGAACGUCGUGAGACAGUUCGGUCCCUAUCUGCCGUGGGCGCUGGAGAAUUGAGGGGGGCUGCUCCUAGUACGAGAGGACCGGAGUGGACGCAUCACUGGUGUUCGGGUUGUCAUGCCAAUGGCACUGCCCGGUAGCUAAAUGCGGAAGAGAUAAGUGCUGAAAGCAUCUAAGCACGAAACUUGCCCCGAGAUGAGUUCUCCCUGAGACUUUAAGUCUCCUGAAGGAACGUUGAAGACGACGACGUUGAUAGGCCGGGUGUGUAAGCGCAGCGAUGCGUUGAGCUAACCGGUACUAAUGAACCGUGAGGCUUAACCU